AGAGCGAACGCUGGCGGCAGGCCUAAUACAUGCAAGUCGAACGGAUCCUUCGGGAUUAGUGGCGGACGGGUGAGUAACACGUGGGAACGUGCCCUUUGGUUCGGAACAACUCAGGGAAACUUGAGCUAAUACCGAAUGUGCCCUUCGGGGGAAAGAUUUAUCGCCAUUGGAGCGGCCCGCGUCUGAUUAGCUAGUUGGUGAGGUAAAGGCUCACCAAGGCGACGAUCAGUAGCUGGUCUGAGAGGAUGAUCAGCCACACUGGGACUGAGACACGGCCCAGACUCCUACGGGAGGCAGCAGUAGGGAAUCUUGCGCAAUGGGCGAAAGCCUGACGCAGCCAUGCCGCGUGAAUGAUGAAGGUCUUAGGAUUGUAAAAUUCUUUCAGCGGGACGAUAAUGACGGUACCGCAGAAGAACGCCCGGCUAACUUCGCGCCAGCAGCCGAC
This 445-nucleotide ribosomal RNA is filed under the name uncultured bacterium. RNAcentral's name for it is "SSU rRNA". It matches the Rfam family "Bacterial small subunit ribosomal RNA", at positions 26 to 518 of the family's 1533-position model. The record is from RNAcentral.